RNAcentral lists this transfer RNA (63 nucleotides) under Euplatypus parallelus. RNAcentral's name for it is "tRNA-Leu". It matches the Rfam family "tRNA". Rfam says of the family: Transfer RNA (tRNA) molecules are approximately 80 nucleotides in length. Their secondary structure includes four short double-helical elements and three loops (D, anti-codon, and T loops). RNAcentral also lists the same sequence under 2 other names. The record is from RNAcentral. Lineage: Eukaryota; Metazoa; Arthropoda; Insecta; Coleoptera; Curculionidae.
UCUAAAAUGGCAGAUUAGUGCAUUGGACUUAAACCCCAAAAAUGAUAUAAUUAUCUUUUAGAA